Long non-coding RNA from Gasterosteus aculeatus aculeatus (three-spined stickleback), 727 nucleotides. The record is from Ensembl. Lineage: Eukaryota; Metazoa; Chordata; Actinopteri; Perciformes; Gasterosteidae.
UGCUUCUCCCGCCAGAGAGCGCUCCUCGGGUUCGUCUACUCGGAGUCGGUCGGGGGCCGCGAGCGGAGAGAAUGGAGGCCGAGCUGCGUCCGAUCGCCGCAGAAAGCAAUUAUAUCAAAUCAGCCUUUUUUUCAUGAGCAAACAAACAACACUUCAUCAUCAUCAUCAUCAUCAUCAACUCGCAUGAAGCGGGAGGGUCAAUUCGAUGGCUGUUGAUUGCGUGAUGAGAGGACACGUGAAGCAGGCCGGGACGAGCCAGCCGAGGAGGCCAAGUUUACGCCCCAACACCUGCCGCCUCAUACCUGCUCCUCGUACUGAUGCUGCAGCCACUCCACAAGUAGAAGAAAGCCUCCUUCUUAAUUUUCUCAGGUUCAACAUGCGUGUAAAUUCUUCAAACACAUGACCACCAGGUGACACAGUAAGUAAGUAGGAGCCAAACGUUUAUAGUUAAUCAUUUGAAAAACUCCACAUCAGGUGGCCUCCAUCUUUCCAAAGACAUCAGUGGAUGGAAGCGCAACAAACGGAUGUCGAGUGUAACCAAAUAUCCAGCAACACACAAGCACAUACUUGAUGGGGCUUAAAACUCAGACGUGUUUUGUCUUUUCGAAUAUCUCGCUCGCUGCUGCACCACCCACGCAUUCCUGAAACAUCCAACUGCUGAGACCAGUUCAAAGGCGUCUGUGGGCGGGGAGUUUGCGUAACAGGUGUGUGUGUGUGUGUGUGUGUG